AGAGCGAGCUGGUGAGGAGAGCUGGUUGCGUGAGUCUCCUCAGCUCUGCUUACCGGUGCGACUAGCGGCAGCGACGCGGCUAAAAGCGAAGGGGCGAGUGCGAGUCCCCUGAGCUGUACGAACGCGGUCGCCAUGGACCGCCCAGAUGAGGGGCCUCCGGCCAAGACCCGCCGCCUGAGCAGCUCCGAGUCUCCACAGCGCGACCCGCCCCCGCCGCCGCCGCCGCCGCCGCUCCUCCGACUGCCGCUGCCUCCACCCCAGCAGCGCCCGAGGCUCCAGGAGGAAACGGAGGCGGCACAGGUGCUGGCCGAUAUGAGGGGGGUGGGACUGGGCCCCGCGCUGCCCCCGCCGCCUCCCUAUGUCAUUCUCGAGGAGGGGGGGAUCCGCGCAUACUUCACGCUCGGUGCUGAGUGUCCCGGCUGGGAUUCUACCAUCGAGUCGGGGUAUGGGGAGGCGCCCCCGCCCACGGAGAGCCUGGAAGCACUCCCCACUCCUGAGGCCUCGGGGGGGAGCCUGGAAAUCGAUUUUCAGGUUGUACAGUCGAGCAGUUUUGGUGGAGAGGGGGCCCUAGAAACCUGUAGCGCAGUGGGGUGGGCGCCCCAGAGGUUAGUUGACCCGAAGAGCAAGGAAGAGGCGAUCAUCAUAGUGGAGGAUGAGGAUGAGGAUGAGCGGGAGAGUAUGAGGAGCAGCAGGAGGCGGCGGCGGCGGCGGAGGAGGAAGCAGAGGAAGGUGAAGAGGGAAAGCAGAGAGAGAAAUGCCGAGAGGAUGGAGAGCAUCUUGCAGGCACUGGAGGAUAUUCAGCUGGAUCUGGAGGCAGUGAACAUCAAGGCAGGCAAAGCCUUCCUGCGUCUCAAGCGCAAGUUCAUCCAGAUGCGAAGACCCUUCCUGGAGCGCAGAGACCUCAUCAUCCAGCAUAUCCCAGGCUUCUGGGUCAAAGCACUCCACUCAUCAGUUCCUCAACCACCCCAGAAUUUCAAUUUUGAUCAACCGACGUGAUGAAGACAUUUUCCGCUACUUGACCAAUCUGCAGGUCAGGCCAGAGAGACAUUUUUUAGUAGGAUCGGGCACGAAUCUGGUUCUUGGAGGUGACGGGAGGUGGGUGGGAAGGGCCGUGGUGUGUGUGGGGGGGGACAGAUUCCACCAUCACCCCCACCUGGAGCAGGUACAGGAUCUCAGACAUAUCUCCAUGGGCUACAAAAUGAAGCUGUACUUCCAGACUAACCCCUACUUCACAAACAUGGUGAUUGUCAAGGAGUUCCAGCGCAACCGCUCAGGCCGGCUGGUGUCUCACUCAACCCCAAUCCGCUGGCACCGGGGCCAGGAACCCCAGGCCCGUCGUCACGGGAACCAGGAUGCGAGCCACAGCUUCUUCAGCUGGUUCUCAAACCAUAGCCUCCCAGAGGCUGACAGGAUUGCUGAGAUUAUCAAGAAUGAUCUGUGGGUUAACCCUCUACGCUACUACCUGAGAGAAAGGGGCUCCAGGAUAAAGAGAAAGAAGCAAGAAAUGAAGAAACGGUAAUGGGAGUUUGGUUGCUGAGAGGUGGUUUGUUGGGGAUGGGGAAAAGACUAGUGUAACACAGGAUUUAUGGAGCCAAAAAGGGACCUUUGAGAUAAUCCCAGUGGAAUAUGUUUUACAAGUGGGAAAUCAUGCCCAGAAAUGGCUUGAGGUUACACAGUGAGGGGCAGAAGUGGGACUUUACCCACCCUAGCCCCAUCCCUGGGAUCCCUUAUAGCCUACUGCUUCCCCAGUUACUUCCCACCUUUGAGUGCUAUGAGUACACCACCUCCCACCAACCCUAUACUCAGCCACAGCCUUCCCUACAGUAAAACCAGGGGCAGAUGUGAGGUGGUGAUCAUGGAAGACGCCCCUGACUAUUAUGCAGUGGAAGACAUUUUCAGCGAAAUCUCAGACAUUGAUGAGACAAUUCAUGACAUCAAGAUCUCUGACUUCAUGGAGACCACCGACUACUUCGAGACCACUGACAACGAGAUAACUGACAUCAAUGAGAACAUCUGCGACAGCGAGAAUCCUGACCACAAUGAGGUCCCCAACAACGAGACCACUGAUAACAACGAGAGUGCUGAUGACCACGAAACCACUGACAACAAUGAGAGUGCAGAUGACAACAACGAGAAUCCUGAAGACAAUAACAAGAACACUGAUGACAACGAAGAGAACCCUAACAACAACGAGAACACUUACGGCAACAACUUCUUCAAAGGUGGCUUCUGGGGCAGCCAUGGCAACAACCAGGACAGCAGCGACAGUGACAAUGAAGCAGAUGAGGCCAGUGAUGAUGAAGAUAAUGAUGGCAACGAAGGUGACAAUGAGGGCAGUGAUGAUGAUGGCAAUGAAGGUGACAAUGAAGGCAGCGAUGAUGACGACAGAGACAUUGAGUACUAUGAGAAAGUUAUUGAAGACUUUGACAAGGAUCAGGCUGACUACGAGGACGUGAUAGAGAUCAUCUCAGACGAAUCAGUGGAAGAAGAGGGCAUUGAGGAAGGUGAGCUAAUCCCUCCCCACCCUUGUCUUCCCUCUUUUCUUUUCUCAGAGCAAGCCUGGCCAAGGACAGUGUAUCAAGGCAUGAACACAAUCUGCUUUUAUGG
This 2607-nucleotide small RNA is filed under the name Pan troglodytes (chimpanzee). RNAcentral's name for it is "retained intron". Lineage: Eukaryota; Metazoa; Chordata; Mammalia; Primates; Hominidae. The record is from RNAcentral.